RNAcentral lists this small nucleolar RNA (91 nucleotides) under Colletotrichum trifolii. RNAcentral describes it as "A. fumigatus snoRNA Afu_190". It matches the Rfam family "A. fumigatus snoRNA Afu_190". Lineage: Eukaryota; Fungi; Ascomycota; Sordariomycetes; Glomerellales; Glomerellaceae. The record is from Rfam by way of RNAcentral. RNAcentral also lists the same sequence under 1 other name.
AUAUGAUGAUACGCCAGCUGGCACCAGUCAUAGAGUGAUUUGUACUCCCUUCAUUGAUGACAAACGCUGCGGUCUACGACCAAACUCUGAU